This 831-nucleotide long non-coding RNA is filed under the name Gallus gallus (chicken). The record is from RNAcentral. Lineage: Eukaryota; Metazoa; Chordata; Aves; Galliformes; Phasianidae.
UUCUGAUGAGAGGAAAAGUACAAAUGAGCUGCAGAAAGCAGGAACCGGCACCUGCAGCAUGAUCCUGCCUGAACAUUUCUGACUACCCAAGAAAUAUUCAAGAGGUCAGCAAGUCAUGAAAAUAUUAAGCACUCCAAGAUCCAGAGCAGAGUGAGAUUGGAUAUACCCUGCCACUUACCAUGGACCAUUGCUACUGUCUGGAAUGUUGUCCAUCUCAUUUUGCACACAGCUUAAAUUCAAAACAAGAUAUCUCUAAGAUCCUCUUGCUAUGGUCAAAAACUUCACAAAUUGAAGAUGUAAAACAGCGUCUGUGCAUUCUCUUCUCUGUUACUGUAUAGAAAGAAAUCAAGCAUGACUGCUUUGAUUUUGGCUAAUCUGUUAGCUUUCAGUCUGAUGGAAUAAUUUCCACUAAGCAAAAACUACUAAAACUUGACAUUUCAACUGAUGAAUAAAAGUUAACUUGCAUCCAAGACUUCAACAAGUCUGUGUUUAAACUGCUAAUAUUGUUUUCCAGAAAAGUUUGAAAAGAGGAGGGAAGCUUAAGUAGAAUAGAAAAAUGCCAAUAUUCAUGCCAAUGUUCAUAAAAGAUAAAUAGCCUGAACCACUUAUUAUCCUGAUCUUCAAAACUUUGGUUCUGGUGCUGCCAACUGCACAGUUGAUGCAGUAUUUUUUAACACACACUAAGAAAAGGUGAUAUCAUAGAUGUCAAUUAAUAUGGCUUUACAAGAAAUGAUGUUUUCAGAAAAUAUUUCGUAUUUUAAUGAUAGUAACAUUUUGACUCAUAAAAAUGCAAGAAUUCAUACAAUACUGCUGAACUUCUCUAAAAUACUG